This 118-nucleotide ribosomal RNA is filed under the name Petromyzon marinus (sea lamprey). The record is from RNAcentral. Lineage: Eukaryota; Metazoa; Chordata; Hyperoartia; Petromyzontiformes; Petromyzontidae.
GCCUGCAACCAAAUCACCCUGAAUGUGCCUGAUCUCAUCAGAUCUUGGAAGCUAAGCAGGAGUUGUCUGCUUUCUUCUUGGAUGGGAUACUGUCUCUGAAUACCGAGAGUUGUAGGCC